This 119-nucleotide ribosomal RNA is filed under the name Musa acuminata subsp. malaccensis (wild Malaysian banana). Lineage: Eukaryota; Viridiplantae; Streptophyta; Magnoliopsida; Zingiberales; Musaceae. The record is from RNAcentral.
GAGUGCGAUCAUACCAGCACUAAAGCAUCGGAUCCCAUCAGAACUCUGAAGUUAAGCAUGCUUGGGCAAGAGUAGUACUAGGAUGGGUGACCCCUUGGGAAGUCCUCGUGUUGCACUCC